GAACAAUGAACAUAACACGUCAGUAUUCCGUGAUCACUCCUCCUUUCUCCCAAUUCCCCACAAGAAGAAUUAUGAAGCAAGUGAGGAUCUAAAUUUCAAUGUUAAUUGUUGACAUGAAAUAACAACAGCAUGACACGUGACACUCAGAAAGUAGUUGACUCAUCGUGGACCAUAUACUAUGAUUCAGGGAGGUGAAAAAUGAGGAUCAUAAUGUGGGAUGAGAAUCUUCAACUGUAUUUUCCGUAAGACCAAUUUUUCCCGUAUCUUUGCUCCUUACCCAUCUUAC
RNAcentral lists this long non-coding RNA (286 nucleotides) under Calidris pugnax (ruff). RNAcentral's name for it is "lncRNA (ENSCPUG00000009281.1)". The record is from RNAcentral. Lineage: Eukaryota; Metazoa; Chordata; Aves; Charadriiformes; Scolopacidae.